RNAcentral lists this transfer RNA (80 nucleotides) under Pseudonocardia sulfidoxydans NBRC 16205. RNAcentral's name for it is "tRNA-Arg". Lineage: Bacteria; Bacillati; Actinomycetota; Actinomycetes; Pseudonocardiales; Pseudonocardiaceae. The record is from RNAcentral.
GCGUCAGGUAGUCAAUACAGCCAUGAUCGUCGCGCUCCGACCCCGAUCUGACGGCCCGGUUCGAGCCUGGGCUGACCGCC